This 253-nucleotide ribosomal RNA is filed under the name uncultured bacterium. Its description in RNAcentral is "partial 16S ribosomal RNA". It matches the Rfam family "Bacterial small subunit ribosomal RNA", at positions 524 to 776 of the family's 1533-position model. The record is from RNAcentral.
UACGGGGGGGGCAAGCGUUGUUCGGAAUUACUGGGCGUAAAGGGCUCGUAGGCGGCCAACUAAGUCGGAUGUGAAAUCCCCAGGCUUAACCUGGGAACUGCAUCCGAUACUGGAUGGCUUGAAUCCGGGAGAGGGAUGCAGAAUUCCAGGUGUAGCGGUGAAAUGCGUAGAUAUCUGGAGGAACACCGGUGGCGAAGGCGGCAUCCUGGACCGGCAUUGACGCUGAAAAGCGAAAGCCAGGGGAGCAAACGGG